RNAcentral lists this ribosomal RNA (420 nucleotides) under uncultured bacterium. Its description in RNAcentral is "bacterial SSU rRNA". It matches the Rfam family "Bacterial small subunit ribosomal RNA", at positions 355 to 774 of the family's 1533-position model. The record is from RNAcentral.
UAAGGAAUAUUGCUCAAUGGGAGAAAUCCUGAAGCAGCAACGCCGCGUGGAGGAUGAAGGGUCUAUGACUUGUAAACUCCUGUAAAGAAGGAAAAAAUUCCCAUUAGAUGGGAGAUGAUGGUACUUCUGGAGUAAGCCCCGGCUAACUACGUGCCAGCAGCCGCGGUAAUACGUAGGGGGCAAGCGUUGUCCGGAUUUACUGGGUGUAAAGGGUGCUCAGGCGGAUUUGUAAGUCAGAGGUGAAAACUCACAGCUUAACUGUGAAACUGCCUUUGAGACUGCAAGCCUAGAGUAUGGAAGAGAGUGAUGGAAUAUCUGGUGUAGCAGUGAAAUGCGUAGAUAUCAGAUAGAACACCAAUGGCGAAGGCAGUCACUUGAUCCAUUACUGACGCUAAAGCACGAAAGCGUGGGUAGCAAACA